ACUGCUCAGUAACACGUGGAUAACCUGCCCAAGGGUCUGGGAUAACCCCGGGAAACUGGGGAUAAUACCGGAUGGAUCACUAGUGCUGGAAUGCUUGGUGGUUUAAAGGUAACGCCUUUGGAUGGGUCUGCGGCGGAUUAGGUUGACGCCGGUGUAACGUACCGGCGUGCCUGUAAUCCGUACGGGUUGUGGGAGCAAGAGCCCGGAGAUGGAUUCUGAGACACGAAUCCAGGCCCUACGGGGCGCAGCAGGCGCGAAAACUCUACAAUGCAGGCAACUGCGAUAGGGGGACAUCGAGUGGCAUCCACCUUGGGUGCCUGUCCAACCGUCUAAAAAACGGUUGUUAGCAAGGGCCGGGUAAGACCGGUGCCAGCCGCCGCGGUAAUACCGGCGGCUCGAGUGGUGGCCGAUAUUAUUGAGUCUAAAGGGUCCGUAGCCGGCUUGGCAAGUCUCUUGGGAAAUCCGGCGGCUUAACCGUCGGUCGUCCGGGAGAUACUACUUUGCUUGGGACUGGGAGAGGCGUGAGGUACUCAGGGGGUAGGAGUGAAAUCCUGUAAUCCUUUGGGGACCACCGGUGGCGAAGGCGUCACGCCAGAACAGGUCCGACGGUGAGGGACGAAAGCUAGGGGCACGAACCGGAUUAGAUACCCGGGUAGUCCUAGCCGUAAACGAUGCUCGCUAGGUGUCACGACAAUCGUGAAUUGUCGUGGUGCCGUAGGGAAGCCGUGAAGCGAGCCACUUGGGAAGUACGACCGCAAGGUUGAAACUUAAAGGAAUUGGCGGGGGAGCAC
This 791-nucleotide ribosomal RNA is filed under the name uncultured archaeon. RNAcentral's name for it is "bacterial SSU rRNA". It matches the Rfam family "Archaeal small subunit ribosomal RNA", at positions 85 to 879 of the family's 1478-position model. The record is from RNAcentral.